Molecule: ribosomal RNA, 315 nt
Filed under: Xiphias gladius (swordfish)
Lineage: Eukaryota; Metazoa; Chordata; Actinopteri; Istiophoriformes; Xiphiidae
Description: partial 16S ribosomal RNA
Rfam family: Bacterial large subunit ribosomal RNA
Source: RNAcentral
CCCUGUGGAGCUUUAGACAUCAAAGCAGAUCAUGUUAAACACCCCCAAAUAAGGGACCAAACUAAAUGACCCCUGCUUUAAUGUCUUCGGUUGGGGCGACCAUGGGGAAAUAAAAAACCCCCACGCGGACUGGGAGCACUAAACCCCUUCUUUACCUCUCCUCCCACAACUAAGAGCUACAGCUCUAACUAACAGAAUAUCUGACCAAUCAAGAUCCGGCAAUGCCGAUCAACGGACCAAGUUACCCUAGGGAUAACAGCGCAAUCCCCUUUUAGAGCCCAUAUCGACAAGGGGGUUUACGACCUCGAUGUUGGA